RNAcentral lists this transfer RNA (71 nucleotides) under Candidatus Nasuia deltocephalincola. RNAcentral's name for it is "Candidatus Nasuia deltocephalinicola tRNA-Gly". It matches the Rfam family "tRNA". From Rfam's summary of the family: Transfer RNA (tRNA) molecules are approximately 80 nucleotides in length. Lineage: Bacteria; Pseudomonadati; Pseudomonadota; Betaproteobacteria. The record is from RNAcentral.
GCGAUUGUAGCUUAAUGGUAAAGCAAUAACCUUCCAAGUUUUUUAAAAGGGUUCGAUUCCCUUCAUUCGCU